GCAAGUCGAGCGGGGAAGGGUAGCUUGCUACUUGACCUAGCGGCGGACGGGUGAGUAAUGCUUAGGAAUCUGCCUAUUAGUGGGGGACAACAUCUCGAAAGGGAUGCUAAUACCGCAUACGUCCUACGGGAGAAAGCAGGGGACCUUCGGGCCUUGCGCUAAUAGAUGAGCCUAAGUCGGAUUAGCUAGUUGGUGGGGUAAAGGCCUACCAAGGCGACGAUCUGUAGCGGGUCUGAGAGGAUGAUCCGCCACACUGGGACUGAGACACGGCCCAGACUCCUACGGGAGGCAGCAGUGGGGAAUAUUGGACAAUGGGGGGAACCCUGAUCCAGCCAUGCCGCGUGUGUGAAGAAGGCCUUUUGGUUGUAAAGCACUUUAAGCGAGGAGGAGGCUACCGAGAUUAAUACUCUUGGAUAGUGGACGUUACUCGCAGAAUAAGCACCGGCUAACUCUGUGCCAGCAGCCGCGGUAAUACAGAGGGUGCAAGCGUUAAUCGGAUUUACUGGGCGUAAAGCGCGCGUAGGUGGCCAAUUAAGUCAAAUGUGAAAUCCCCGAGCUUAACUUGGGAAUUGCAUUCGAUACUGGUUGGCUAGAGUAUGGGAGAGGAUGGUAGAAUUCCAGGUGUAGCGGUGAAAUGCGUAGAGAUCUGGAGGAAUACCGAUGGCGAAGGCAGCCAUCUGGCCUAAUACUGACACUGAGGUGCGAAAGCAUGGGGAGCAAACAGGAUUAGAUACCCUGGUAGUCCAUGCCGUANACGAUGUCUACUAGCCGUUGGGGCCUUUGAGGCUUUAGUGGCGCAGCUAACGCGAUAAGUAGACCGCCUG
This 824-nucleotide ribosomal RNA is filed under the name Acinetobacter sp. PAUCARPATA_27F. Its description in RNAcentral is "bacterial SSU rRNA". It matches the Rfam family "Bacterial small subunit ribosomal RNA", at positions 57 to 875 of the family's 1533-position model. The record is from RNAcentral. Lineage: Bacteria; Pseudomonadati; Pseudomonadota; Gammaproteobacteria; Moraxellales; Moraxellaceae.